This 406-nucleotide ribosomal RNA is filed under the name uncultured bacterium. RNAcentral describes it as "partial 16S ribosomal RNA". It matches the Rfam family "Bacterial small subunit ribosomal RNA", at positions 28 to 526 of the family's 1533-position model. The record is from RNAcentral.
GAUGAACGCUGGCGGCGUGCAUAAUACAUGCAAGUCGAACGAGAGGCGGACGGGUGAGUAAUGUCUGGGAAACUGCCCGAUGGAGGGGGAUAAAUACUGGAAACGGUAGCUAAUACCGCACAACAUCGGAUGUGCCAAGAGGGGAGGAGCUAGUAGGUGGGGUAACGGCGCACCUAGGCGACGAUCCCUAGCUGGUCUGAGAGGAUGACCAGCCACACUGGAACAGAGACACGUUCCAGAAUCCUCCGGGAGGCAGCAGUGGGGAAUAUUGCACAAUGGGCGCAAGCCUGAUGCACCCAUGCCGCGUGUAUGAAGAAGGCCUUCGGGUUGUAAAGUACUUUCAGCGAGGAGGCGUUACUCGCAGAAGAAGCACCGGCUAACUCCGUGCCAGCAGCCGCGGUAAUUC